Molecule: non-coding RNA, 21 nt
Filed under: Caenorhabditis elegans
Lineage: Eukaryota; Metazoa; Nematoda; Chromadorea; Rhabditida; Rhabditidae
Source: RNAcentral
UUAAUGAGCGUUAAAUAUGUA